AGUGAACGCUGGCGGUAGGCCUAACACAUGCAAGUCGAACGGCAGCACAGUAAGAGCUUGCUCUUACGGGUGGCGAGUGGCGGACGGGUGAGGAAUACAUCGGAAUCUACUUUUUCGUGGGGGAUAACGUAGGGAAACUUACGCUAAUACCGCAUACGACCUACGGGUGAAAGCAGGGGAUCUUCGGACCUUGCGCGAUUGAAUGAGCCGAUGUCGGAUUAGCUAGUUGGCGGGGUAAAGGCCCACCAAGGCGACGAUCCGUAGCUGGCCUGAGAGGAUGAUCAGCAACACUGGAACUGGGACACGGUCCAGACUCCUACGGGAGGCAGCAGUGGGGAAUAUUGGACAAUGGGCGAAAGCCUGAUCCAGCCAUACCGCGUGGGUGAAGAAGGCCUUCGGGUUGUAAAGCCCUUUUGUUGGGAAAGAAAAGCAGCAGGUUAAUACCCCGCUGUUCUGACGGUACCCAAAGAAUAAGCACCGGCUAACUUCGUG
RNAcentral lists this ribosomal RNA (492 nucleotides) under uncultured bacterium. RNAcentral describes it as "partial 16S ribosomal RNA". It matches the Rfam family "Bacterial small subunit ribosomal RNA", at positions 29 to 507 of the family's 1533-position model. The record is from RNAcentral.